RNAcentral lists this transfer RNA (71 nucleotides) under Coris batuensis (Batu coris). RNAcentral's name for it is "tRNA-Ile". It matches the Rfam family "tRNA". From Rfam's summary of the family: Transfer RNA (tRNA) molecules are approximately 80 nucleotides in length. Their secondary structure includes four short double-helical elements and three loops (D, anti-codon, and T loops). The record is from RNAcentral. Lineage: Eukaryota; Metazoa; Chordata; Actinopteri; Labriformes; Labridae.
GGAGCCGUGCCUGAAACCAUAGGGUCACUUUGAUAGAGUGAAACAUGGAGGUUAGAGUCCUCCCAGCUCCU